This 253-nucleotide ribosomal RNA is filed under the name uncultured bacterium. RNAcentral's name for it is "partial 16S ribosomal RNA". It matches the Rfam family "Bacterial small subunit ribosomal RNA", at positions 524 to 776 of the family's 1533-position model. The record is from RNAcentral.
UACGUAGGUGGCGAGCGUUGUCCGGAAUUACUGGGUGUAAAGGGCGUGUAGGCGGGAAUGCAAGUCAGAUGUGAAAUACCAAGGCUUAACCUUGGGGCUGCAUCUGAAACUGCGUUUCUUGAGUGUCGGAGAGGAAAGUGGAAUUCCUAGUGUAGCGGUGAAAUGCGUAGAUAUUAGGAGGAACACCAGUGGCGAAGGUGACUUUCGGGACGAUAAAUGACGCUGAGGCGCGAAAGCGUGGGGAGCAAACAGG